This is an RNA transcript of Octodon degus (degu), 1059 nucleotides long. It is a transcript of the gene named histone H2A type 1-H, with no coding region annotated. The transcript is spliced from 3 exons. The record is from RefSeq and is a predicted model, not a curated record. Lineage: Eukaryota; Metazoa; Chordata; Mammalia; Rodentia; Octodontidae.
UUUGCUUCUGUGAUGUCUGGACGCGGCAAGCAGGGCGGCAAGGCUCGCGCCAAGGCCAAGACGCGCUCGUCCCGCGCCGGGCUGCAGUUCCCCGUGGGCCGCGUGCACCGCCUGCUGCGCAAGGGCAACUACGCCGAGCGCGUGGGCGCCGGCGCCCCGGUCUACCUGGCGGCCGUGCUCGAGUACCUCACGGCCGAGAUCCUGGAGCUGGCGGGCAACGCGGCGCGCGACAACAAGAAGACGCGCAUCAUCCCGCGACACCUGCAGCUGGCCAUCCGCAACGACGAGGAGCUCAACAAGCUGCUGGGCAAGGUCACCAUCGCGCAGGGCGGCGUGCUGCCCAACAUCCAGGCCGUGCUGCUGCCCAAGAAGACCGAGAGCCACCACAAGGCCAAGAGUAGCGGGUGAGCUCGAGACACCCAACUCUUAAAAGGUCUCAAGGCCGCCAAAACACGGAGUCUGCGGAUUACUCGAGUUAUCGUCUCCCAUUCUGGUGCAGAAGCCAGCUGACUGAGACGCAGGCCAGGCGUCCAAGGAAGAAAACCCGUGGUGCCCCUGUGUGAGCCUUGGGUUCCACGUAAGUAGAUGUUGAGAGGAAAUUUUGAGGUGCAAGCUGUUUGCCAGGGCUCAACACUACACCUGUGAAGGUAGGAUUGGGCAAAAAAGGUCCAGCUGAGAUCCAGGCCAAACAGCCCAGUGGAGAGAUCAGGAGGGAGAUGGUAUCACCAGGCAAAGUCCCAACCUGCCUCUCGCUGGUCUCUGGUUUUUAGUGUCACUCUCUGAGGCUGGUCCUAGGAACGCAGUGCCCCUGAGGGAGAGCAGCCCUGCAGCGGGGCCAACACCCAAGGAGCCACAGCUGCUGCCUAUCUGCAGGGUGUGUGCAAGCACGAUUCCUUCCGGGUUCAGCACUAUCUCCAUGUGUCUGACGCACACCAGUGUGUGUGUGUGUGUGUGUGUGUGUGUACACCAGCGUAGAGUAACCUCCAGAGGGGAUCUGUGCAACAUGCUGACUUCUUUCUGUAUGAGGGCCCGAACUCAUGACCUUGCUCUAAGCUGUGU